Molecule: transfer RNA, 72 nt
Filed under: Ictidomys tridecemlineatus (thirteen-lined ground squirrel)
Lineage: Eukaryota; Metazoa; Chordata; Mammalia; Rodentia; Sciuridae
Description: Spermophilus tridecemlineatus (thirteen-lined ground squirrel) tRNA
Rfam family: tRNA
About the family: Transfer RNA (tRNA) molecules are approximately 80 nucleotides in length. Their secondary structure includes four short double-helical elements and three loops (D, anti-codon, and T loops).
Source: Rfam by way of RNAcentral
GGUGUUGUGGCUCAGUGGUAGAGCUCUUGCCUAGAAUGUACGAGGCCCUGGGUUUAAUCCUCAGCACCACAU